RNAcentral lists this ribosomal RNA (767 nucleotides) under uncultured fungus. Its description in RNAcentral is "SSU rRNA". It matches the Rfam family "Eukaryotic small subunit ribosomal RNA", at positions 564 to 1334 of the family's 1831-position model. Lineage: Eukaryota; Fungi. The record is from RNAcentral.
GUGCCAGCAGCCGCGGUAAUUCCAGCUCCAAUAGCGUAUAUUAAAGUUGUUGUGGUUAAAAAGCUCGUAGUUGAACCUUGGGCCUGGCUGGCCGGUCCGCCUCACCGCGUGCACUGGUCCGGCCGGGCCUUUCCCUCUGUGGAACCCCAUACCCUUCACUGGGCGUGGCGGGGAAACAGGACAUUUACUUUGAAAAAAUUAGAGUGCUCCAGGCAGGCCUAUGCUCGAAUACAUUAGCAUGGAAUAAUAAAAUAGGACGCGCGGUUCUAUUUUGUUGGUUUAUAGGACCGCCGUAAUGAUUAAUAGGGACAGUCGGGGGCAUCAGUAUUCAACUGUCAGAGGUGAAAUUCUUGGAUCAGUUGAAGACUAACUACUGCGAAAGCAUUUGCCAAGGAUGUUUUCAUUAAUCAGGAACGAAAGUUAGGGGAUCGAAGACGAUCAGAUACCGUCGUAGUCUUAACCAUAAACUAUGCCGACUAGGGAUCGGACGGUGUUAUUCAUGACCCGUUCGGCACCUUACGAGAAAUCAAAGUGCUUGGGCCCCAGGGGGAGUAUGGUCGCAAGGCUGAAACUUAAAGAAAUUGACGGAAGGGCACCACCAGGGGUGGAGCCUGCGGCUUAAUUUGACUCAACACGGGGAAACUCACCAGGUCCAGACACAAUAAGGAUUGACAGAUUGAGAGCUCUUUUCUUGAUUUUUGUGGGGUGGUGAUGCAUGGCCGUUCUUAGUUGGUGGGGUGACUUGUCUGCUUUAAUUGCGAUAACGG